RNAcentral lists this ribosomal RNA (38 nucleotides) under Phyllospadix scouleri. RNAcentral's name for it is "partial 26S ribosomal RNA". The record is from RNAcentral. Lineage: Eukaryota; Viridiplantae; Streptophyta; Magnoliopsida; Alismatales; Zosteraceae.
GCGACCCCAAGUCAGGCCAGACCACCCGCUGAGUUUAA